CCUACGGGGGACAGCAGUCGAGAAUCAUUCACAAUGGGGGAAACCCUGAUGGUGCGACGCCGCGUGGGGGAAUGAAGGUCUUCGGAUUGUAAACCCCUGUCAUGUGGGAGCAAAUUAAAAAGAUAGUACCACAAGAGGAAGAGACGGCUAACUCUGUGCCAGCAGCCGCGGUAAUACAGAGGUCUCAAGCGUUGUUCGGAAUCACUGGGCGUAAAGCGUGCGUAGGCUGUUUCGUAAGUCGUGUGUGAAAGGCGCGGGCUCAACCCGCGGACGGCACAUGAUACUGCGAGACUAGAGUAAUGGAGGGGGAACCGGAAUUCGCGGUGUAGCAGUGAAAUGCGGAGAUAUCGAGAGGAACACUCGUGGCGAAGGCGGGUUCCUGGACAUUAACGGACGCUGAGGCACGAAGGCCAGGGGAGCGAAAGGGAUUAGAUACCCGAGUAGUC
This 446-nucleotide ribosomal RNA is filed under the name uncultured bacterium. Its description in RNAcentral is "partial 16S ribosomal RNA". It matches the Rfam family "Bacterial small subunit ribosomal RNA", at positions 338 to 795 of the family's 1533-position model. The record is from RNAcentral.